This 482-nucleotide ribosomal RNA is filed under the name uncultured bacterium. RNAcentral describes it as "partial 16S ribosomal RNA". It matches the Rfam family "Bacterial small subunit ribosomal RNA", at positions 36 to 507 of the family's 1533-position model. The record is from RNAcentral.
CUUUCCCUCUUUCUUCCUGCCUUACACAUGCAAGUCGAACGGUAACGGGCCUUCGGGUGCCGACGAGUGGCGAACGGGUGAGUAAUACAUCGGAACGUGCCCGAUCGUGGGGGAUAACGAGGCGAAAGCUUUGCUAAUACCGCAUACGAUCUACGGAUGAAAGCAGGGGACCGCAAGGCCUUGCGCGGACGGAGCGGCCGAUGGCAGAUUAGGUAGUUGGUGGGAUAAAAGCUUACCAAGCCGACGAUCUGUAGCUGGUCUGAGAGGAUGAUCAGCCACACUGGGACUGAGACACGGCCCAGACUCCUACGGGAGGCAGCAGUGGGGAAUUUUGGACAAUGGGCGCAAGCCUGAUCCAGCCAUGCCGCGUGCAGGAUGAAGGCCUUCGGGUUGUAAACUGCUUUUGUACGGAACGAAAAGCCUUCUUUUAAUACAGGAGGGUCAUGACGGUACCGUAAGAAUAAGCACCGGCUAACUACGUG